GCUUUAUAUCCUCAUUCCCAUCUGUUCACAUUUUAUGUUUUAGUUACUAGGUCAUAUCUCUUGCAUUCAGAUUCACAAUACAUGAGUACUCCUUGGGCAUAAGCGUCUUAAUCUCUUACAUUUCAGCAGUGACUUAGACAUUCUAUAGAUAUUUUGUUUCUUUAUUUCAAAUCAUUGGAACUCUUGUUUAAACAAAAGGCAGGGGAAAAUGAGUUAGUUCUGCUGUAUUAUGUGCCAUGCUAAUAUUAGGUGGUGUGCCAAACAGUUACUUUAUGAUGUG
Molecule: unclassified non-coding RNA, 280 nt
Filed under: Hevea brasiliensis (rubber tree)
Lineage: Eukaryota; Viridiplantae; Streptophyta; Magnoliopsida; Malpighiales; Euphorbiaceae
Source: RNAcentral